CGGACUCAAAUUGGUGACUCCAGAAUAGAAUUCUUUGUUAUCGUGCCAGUCUAAUUGGGACUCUGAAUAACGUUGCCCUGAAUAGUUUUGGAACGCUAUACCUUAUUUCUCAGGGAAAACACUAAAUGAAGGUAGCAAUAUUUUAUUUAAG
RNAcentral lists this long non-coding RNA (151 nucleotides) under Felis catus (domestic cat). RNAcentral describes it as "lncRNA (ENSFCAG00000048961.1)". Lineage: Eukaryota; Metazoa; Chordata; Mammalia; Carnivora; Felidae. The record is from RNAcentral.